Molecule: unclassified non-coding RNA, 400 nt
Filed under: soil metagenome
Description: partial contains 5.8S ribosomal RNA, internal transcribed spacer 2, and large subunit ribosomal RNA
Rfam family: 5.8S ribosomal RNA (bases 1-122)
Source: RNAcentral
GAUGAAGAACGUAGCGAAAUGCGAUACUUGGUGUGAAUUGCAGAAUCCCGUGAACCAUCGAGUCUUUGAACGCAAGUUGCGCCUCAAGCCAUUAGGUUGAGGGCACGUCUGCCUGGGCGUCACAUAUCGUUGCCUGAUGCCAGUUUCCUCGUGAUGGGUGACUGUGCAGGGCGAAUGAUGGCUUCCCGUGAGCAUUGUUGCCUCAUGGUUGGUUGAAAAUUGAGUCCUUGAGAGGGAGCGCCGUGAUAGAUGGUGGUUGAGUGACGAACGAGACCCAAUCAUGUGAGACCCCUACCGAAUUUGGCCUUCAUGACCCACAUGCGUCUUUGGAACGCUCAUGACGAGACCUCAGGUCAGGCGGGGCUACCCGCUGAGUUUAAGCAUAUCAAUAAGCGGAGGA